Molecule: long non-coding RNA, 338 nt
Filed under: Setaria viridis
Lineage: Eukaryota; Viridiplantae; Streptophyta; Magnoliopsida; Poales; Poaceae
Description: long non-coding RNA (SVIR_LNC010947)
Source: RNAcentral
GCUAAGUCAUGCAUCUAGGGUUUCACACAACUCCUAUACGUAAAUGCACAAGCAUGUUACAGAAGGCAUGCGCGAGUCUGGUAAAACACAUAGGACUUUCAUGCAACCGGGGCUUGCCUUCAAGCAAGGAGGACGGGAACUGCUCGACGUCGGGGGCGACUCCGGCUUCCGCGGGCAGGAACUCGGCUACAGCUUCUUCUUCUGGCGCCGGGUGCAACUCGUAGAAGCCGUCGGCGAGGUGCAGCUCUACACGAAUGCAAUGCAAGGGUUAGCUUAGACAGUUAUUUCAACAGCAACACUGGUUCGCCUGCGCCCAGAAACUUGCGACAAAGAGCAGG